GAUGAACGCUGGCGGCGUGCCUAAUACAUGCAAGUCGAGCGAACAGAUGAGGAGCUUGCUCCUCUGACGUUAGCGGCGGACGGGUGAGUAACACGUGGAUAACCUACCUAUAAGACUGGGAUAACUUCGGGAAACCGGAGCUAAUACCGGAUAAUAUAUUGAACCGCAUGGUUCAAUAGUGAAAGACGGUUUUGCUGUCACUUAUAGAUGGAUCCGCGCCGCAUUAGCUAGUUGGUAAGGUACCGGCUUACCAAGGCAACGAUGCGUAGCCAACCUGAGAGGGUGAUCGGCCACACUGGAACUGAGACACGGUCCAGACUCCUACGGGAGGCAGCAGUAGGGAAUCUUCCGCAAUGGGCGAAAGCCUGACGGAGCAACGCCGCGUGAGUGAUGAAGGUCUUCGGAUCGUAAAACUCUGUUAUUAGGGAAGAACAAAUGUGUAAGUAACUAUGCACGUCUUGACGGUACCUAAUCAGAAAGCCACGGCUAACUACGUG
Molecule: ribosomal RNA, 497 nt
Filed under: uncultured bacterium
Lineage: Bacteria
Description: partial 16S ribosomal RNA
Rfam family: Bacterial small subunit ribosomal RNA
Source: RNAcentral